CCCAAAAAUAAACGUCCCAGUUCGGACUGUAGUCUGCAACCCGACUACACGAAGCUGGAAUCGCUAGUAAUCGUAGGUCAGCAUACUACGGUGAAUACGUUCCCGGGCCUUGUACACACCGCCCGUCAAACCAUGAGAGUUGGCAACACCCGAAGUCGGUAGUCUAACCGCAAGGAGGACGCCGCCGAAGGUGGGGUUGAUGAUUAGGGUUAAGUCGUAACAAGGUAAC
RNAcentral lists this ribosomal RNA (229 nucleotides) under uncultured bacterium. RNAcentral's name for it is "partial 16S ribosomal RNA". It matches the Rfam family "Bacterial small subunit ribosomal RNA", at positions 1272 to 1500 of the family's 1533-position model. The record is from RNAcentral.